AAAUUUUAAAAUUAUAAUACUAAAAUAGUAAAUAAUUAUUUAUUAAAACUUAAAUAAUUUGGCGGUAUUUUAGUUUAUUUAGAGGAAUCUGUUUAAUAAUUGAUAUUCCACGAAUAAAUUUACUUAAUUUAUAAUUUUGUAUAUCGUUGUUAUAAAAAUA
This 160-nucleotide ribosomal RNA is filed under the name Acrapex syscia. Its description in RNAcentral is "partial 12S small subunit ribosomal RNA". Lineage: Eukaryota; Metazoa; Arthropoda; Insecta; Lepidoptera; Noctuidae. The record is from RNAcentral.